This 2657-nucleotide long non-coding RNA is filed under the name Salvia miltiorrhiza (redroot sage). RNAcentral describes it as "long non-coding RNA (SMIL_LNC008858)". Lineage: Eukaryota; Viridiplantae; Streptophyta; Magnoliopsida; Lamiales; Lamiaceae. The record is from RNAcentral.
UCACUAUUUCUCUAUUAAUUUCCCUCUUCUACUAUUCAAUCUUGCAAUUUUUUCCUGUAAUUUAAUCACCAGUAAAUUAGAACUUUUUGCACCAAAACAAACGUAAUGAAACACAAAUCAAAACAUACAAAAGCCCAUGGCAAAUCUGGUUUCAAAAUGAAAUAAUCAUUUAAUUUACAUAAAAAAGCGUAUAUAAAUAUACAUACAAGAAUGGAAAAUUAGAUGACUAAGCAGAAAAGAAGCCAUUGGUAGCAGCAACAGUGAUCUGUGAUCUGGCCUCGAAAUUCCUCACCAUUUUGUCAUCCUUUACUAACAGCAUCAUCUCUUUCAUCCAAGAAGCAGAUGACCCUUUGAAUCUCUGCCCCAAAACUCCCACACACGAAAACAUAUCAAUCUCCCCACCAUUCAUCUUUCUUGAAUUCUUCACCCUCCUCUCAUACUCCUCUGCAACCAAGAUUGCAAUAUCUGCCAUUUUCAACAAUCCCUCUCUCUCUCUACAAUAAUUUCUUGCACUUGUUUGAGCUUUGCCACUGUUAGUAAUGAUGGAUAAUGGUGGGGUUUUUUGUGUGUAUUUAAAGGGGUGGGAGCAAUAUUGGAUAAGGUUGCCAGGUGAUGACUGAUCCUAGCUACAAUGUUUUAGCAUUAUUUUAUGCAAGGAUUUAGGUAAUUCAGGAUCAUCUUUCUUUUCCCUUUUUAAGUUUUUAAAGUUUAUAUAUUUAUUUAUUUAUUGCAGUUUACUGUGAGCCGAUUUCUGUGGUCGAAGGGCAUGAAUAGAAUACUGCUUUGCCGACCAAAAUGGCAGUUUUCUUGAGAUUAAACUAAUAUGUGCUAAAUUAGUUAAAAUGCUUCACUUUUUGGAGAAUUAGUGGAAUCUAAUUUGUUAGAUGUGAAGAUCAUUAAGUAAAUUGUUUACUGAAUAUACAUCUAAAUAAAUGUAUAUGGAUUAUAUAAACGGCUGAUAUUGCAAUAUGGAGUAUGAUACUGAAAGAUGCGAGUUUUGGGACUUCUAAACAAGCAAUUAGUUGCAUUUCCUUUUCAUACAGGCUUGCAUCUAUAGUUUAAAGUCAUUUUUAAUGAGAUACGAGAUCUUUUUUUCUGUAUCUUUAUCUUUAUAAAAAACAAAGUAAAUGUCAUUCAAUUUGAAGGACAUAAUUGGAAAAAAUCUUAAUUAGUGGUUAAUUCUUUUGUUUCAAACGGAUACACUUUGUUAUCUAAAAAAAAACGGUUACACUUCUUCAUUUACUUUUUAUUCUCAUUAAUUAUAUAAAACCUAUUUUCUGAUUAAUUUAUUUAAUAAUUUAUUAUGAAUAUAAUAUACAAAAUGCAUCUUAAAUAAAAGAUCAUAAAAAGAUCUUUACUUUGAUAUAUAAUAUGUAAAAAAUUAAUUUAAAAUAAAUAAAUUGUUAUCAUUUAAAGUUUAACCAUAUUCAAAAAAAUAAAUACUUCUAACUUCCGUUCAAAUGUGUAACAUAUUCAAAUAUCUUUCAAAAUAUUUCUAAUUAAUAUUUCUUCUUUCUUUUUAUGAAUUUUGUUUAUUUAUUAAAAGUUUGAAUUUUAUAGGUUGAUAUUUUUUUUUUAAUUCAUCAUUUUUUCACACCAAAAUUCAUAAUGUUUUUUUUUAACAAACCAAAUUCAUAAUGUUACAUAGAAAAUUCAUACACAGCUUAUUUUAUGCGAUAAAUUUGGUUUAGUUAGUGUAAUUAUAGAAACUCCAUAUAUAAGUGGUAGAAUAUUUAUAUAUAGACACAUGUUAUAUUUUUGUAUAAUUACAUUGGUAAUGUUAAAAUAUUAGAUCACUUAACAAAAUAUAAUUUUGGUGUCGAAUUUUAAUUAUAUUAGUUUAUAUUAAUAUUAUAAAACAUAUAUAUGCAAAUUUUACGUGAGUCUAAAUUCACAUUCAACCGCGCAUAACGCGGGAGGUACACUAGUUUCUUAUAAAUGACCAUUUUCCCUCGGUAAAAAAAAUAAACGAUAUAAAUUAAAUAAAUAAUUCAUGUAAAGAUGCUUUAGGUGCUAGAAUAUUGAAGGACAGCAUUUAUAAUGUCUAAACCGGUUAUUAGGCUUAGAAUUUUGCAUGAAUAUUUUGAUAAUUUUUACUUGAUUUGGUGGGAUUCGUGGGAACUCGUUGAAAUUUGAAAUUCAUCGUGUUUGUUUUUGUUGGAAAGAGAUUCUAACUUGAAUAUAUUAUACACACAUGCUAAUUAAUUGAUUAUAUUUUUUUAGGGUUAAUUGUGUAUAAUAUCAAGAACUUUGCCCGAAAUUCAUUUUUCCCACGAUCUUUAAAAAAUCUAUUUUUUAUCAAAUAUUUUGAUAUUUGUCCAAUUUUUCCACAAAUGUUUUUUUUUCAAUGACUAGAAAAAUGAAAUAGCAGUGACGUAAAUUUAAUUUUACACGUAACACUGACGUGGAAUAUAUAUGAAUUUUAAAUUACACAUAAUAUUAAAUCAUAAUAAAAAGCCCUAAUUUCUUUUAAUUUCUCAUUUUUAUCGGGCAAAAGAAAAUCAAAGACUUCUUUUGGCGCUAGAAAGAAACGAUUGCUCUCCUUUCCACCACCUCUGUUGAAGGGUUCCUCUCCAGACCAGUGCGGAAAUCUUCGUGUCGAGGUCUUCCAAACCAGUGGCACCGAUUGUUCGCCGAUUGCUGGCGCCGAUUGCUUU